This 240-nucleotide ribosomal RNA is filed under the name uncultured Lactobacillus sp. RNAcentral describes it as "partial 16S ribosomal RNA". It matches the Rfam family "Bacterial small subunit ribosomal RNA", at positions 122 to 354 of the family's 1533-position model. The record is from RNAcentral. Lineage: Bacteria; Bacillati; Bacillota; Bacilli; Lactobacillales; Lactobacillaceae.
UAACCUGCCCAAGAGAUCGGGAUAACACCUUGAAACAGAUGCUAAUACCGGAUAACAACAGAUGAUGCCUAUCAACUGUUUAAAAGAUGGUUCUGCUAUCACUCUUGGAUGGACCUGCGGUGCAUUAGCUAGUUGGUAGGGUAACGGCCUACCAAGGCGAUGAUGCAUAGCCGAGUUGAGAGACUGAUCGGCCACAUUGGGACUGAGACACGGCCCAAACUCCUAAGGGAGGCAGCAGAA